GGUCAUUUAGAGGAAGUAAAAGUCGUAACAAGGUUUCCGUAGGUGAACCUGCGGAAGGAUCAUUAUUGAUUGCGAAUCGUUGUCUUCAGUGCUGGCCAGCUCUGGCAAGUGCACGUUGGCGGCUUUUCAUCCAAUACCCCUGUGAACCUUUGGCCUCUUGCUGGCUUUGGCUGGCAGAGGAUUUUUUACACCCGCUCGAAUGUAAUGAAAUUAUUGUUGUGCGCAAGCACUACUGUACAACUUUCAACAACGGAUCUCUUGGCUCUCGCAUCGAUGAAGAACGCAGCGAAAUGCGAUAAGUAAUGUGAAUUGCAGAAUUCAGUGAAUCAUCGAAUCUUUGAACGCACCUUGCACCCUUUGGCAUUCCGAAGGGUAUGCUCGUUUGAGUGUCAUUGUACUCUCACACUUCUGAUCUUUUGGGUCGGGAGCGGUGGACUUGGGUGUUGCUGCUUUACUGUGGCUCACCUCAAAUGCAUUAGUGCAACUCUUGGUUGGACAUAGUACGGCGUGAUAAGUAUCUUCGCCGGCACCUCGCAAGAGGGUGGCUGAUCAGGAGAUCUGUGCUUUCCAACUGUCUUCAGACAACAACUGACAACUUGACCUCAAAUCGAGUAGGACCACCCGCUGAACUUAAGCAUAUCAAUAAGCGGAGGA
This 654-nucleotide ribosomal RNA is filed under the name uncultured Sebacina. Its description in RNAcentral is "eukaryotic LSU rRNA". The stretch from base 239 to 392 matches the Rfam family "5.8S ribosomal RNA". The record is from RNAcentral. Lineage: Eukaryota; Fungi; Basidiomycota; Agaricomycetes; Sebacinales; Sebacinaceae.